ACGAACGCUGGCGGCGUGCCUAAUCCAUGCAAGUAGAACGCACAGUUUAUACCGUAGCUUGCUACACCAUAAACUGUGAGUUGCGAACGGGUGAGUAACGCGUAGGUAACCUGCCUGGUAGCGGGGGAUAACUAUUGGAAACGAUAGCUAAUACCGCAUAAUAUUGAUUAUUGCAUGAUAAUUGAUUGAAAGAUGCUAUUGCAUCACUACCAGAUGGACCUGCGUUGUAUUAGCUAGUAGGUGAGGUAACGGCUCACCUAGGCGACGAUACAUAGCCGACCUGAGAGGGUGAUCGGCCACACUGGGACUGAGACACGGCCCAGACUCCUACGGGAGGCAGCAGUAGGGAAUCUUCGGCAAUGGACGAAAGUCUGACCGAGCAACGCCGCGUGAGUGAAGAAGGUUUUCGGAUCGUAAAGCUCUGUUGUAAGAGAAGAACGGGUGUGAGAGUGGAAAGUUCACACUGUGACGGUAUCUUACCAGAAAGGGACGGCUAACUACGUG
This 504-nucleotide ribosomal RNA is filed under the name uncultured bacterium. RNAcentral describes it as "partial 16S ribosomal RNA". It matches the Rfam family "Bacterial small subunit ribosomal RNA", at positions 29 to 507 of the family's 1533-position model. The record is from RNAcentral.